CAUAGGUUAAUGAGGCGAACCGGGGGAACUGAAACAUCUAAGUACCCCGAGGAAAAGAAAUCAACCGAGAUUCCCCCAGUAGCGGCGAGCGAACGGGGAGGAGCCCAGAGCCUGAAUCAGUGUGUGUGUUAGUGGAAGCGUCUGGAAAGGCGCGCGAUACAGGGUGACAGCCCCGUACACAAAAAUGCACAUAUUGUGAGCUCGAUGAGUAGGGCGGGACACGUGGUAUCCUGUCUGAAUAUGGGGGGACCAUCCUCCAAGGCUAAAUACUCCUGACUGACCGAUAGUGAACCAGUACCGUGAGGGAAAGGCGAAAAGAACCCCGGCGAGGGGAGUGAAAAAGAACCUGAAACCGUGUACGUACAAGCAGUGGGAGCCUCUUAAUGGGGUGACUGCGUACCUUUUGUAUAAUGGGUCAGCGACUUAUAUUCUGUAGCAAGGUUAACCGAAUAGGGGAGCCGAAGGGAAACCGAGUCUUAACUGGGCGUUAAGUUGCAGGGUAUAGACCCGAAACCCGGUGAUCUAGCCAUGGGCAGGUUGAAGGUUGGGUAACACUAACUGGAGGACCGAACCGACUAAUGUUGAAAAAUUAGCGGAUGACUUGUGGCUGGGGGUGAAAGGCCAAUCAAACCGGGAGAUAGCUGGUUCUCCCCGAAAGCUAUUUAGGUAGCGCCUCGUGAAUUCAUCUCCGGGGGUAGAGCACUGUUUCGGCAAGGGGGUCAUCCCGACUUACCAACCCGAUGCAAACUGCGAAUACCGGAGAAUGUUAUCACGGGAGACACACGGCGGGUGCUAACGUCCGUCGUGAAGAGGGAAACAACCCAGACCGCCAGCUAAGGUCCCAAAGUCAUGGUUAAGUGGGAAACGAUGUGGGAAGGCCCAGACAGCCAGGAUGUUGGCUUAGAAGCAGCCAUCAUUUAAAGAAAGCGUAAUAGCUCACUGGUCGAGUCGGCCUGCGCGGAAGAUGUAACGGGGCUAAACCAUGCACCGAAGCUGCGGCAGCGACACUAUGUGUUGUUGGGUAGGGGAGCGUUCUGUAAGCCUGUGAAGGUGGCCUGUGAGGGUUGCUGGAGGUAUCAGAAGUGCGAAUGCUGACAUAAGUAACGAUAAAGCGGGUGAAAAGCCCGCUCGCCGGAAGACCAAGGGUUCCUGUCCAACGUUAAUCGGGGCAGGGUGAGUCGACCCCUAAGGCGAGGCCGAAAGGCGUAGUCGAUGGGAAACAGGUUAAUAUUCCUGUACUUGGUGUUACUGCGAAGGGGGGACGGAGAAGGCUAUGUUGGCCGGGCGACGGUUGUCCCGGUUUAAGCGUGUAGGCUGGUUUUCCAGGCAAAUCCGGAAAAUCAAGGCUGAGGCGUGAUGACGAGGCACUACGGUGCUGAAGCGACAAAUGCCCUGCUUCCAGGAAAAGCCUCUAAGCAUCAGGUAACAUCAAAUCGUACCCCAAACCGACACAGGUGGUCAGGUAGAGAAUACCAAGGCGCUUGAGAGAACUCGGGUGAAGGAACUAGGCAAAAUGGUGCCGUAACUUCGGGAGAAGGCACGCUGAUAUGUAGGUGAAGCGACUUGCUCGUGGAGCUGAAAUCAGUCGAAGAUACCAGCUGGCUGCAACUGUUUAUUAAAAACACAGCACUGUGCAAACACGAAAGUGGACGUAUACGGUGUGACGCCUGCCCGGUGCCGGAAGGUUAAUUGAUGGGGUUAGCGGUAACGCGAAGCUCUUGAUCGAAGCCCCGGUAAACGGCGGCCGUAACUAUAACGGUCCUAAGGUAGCGAAAUUCCUUGUCGGGUAAGUUCCGACCUGCACGAAUGGCGUAAUGAUGGCCAGGCUGUCUCCACCCGAGACUCAGUGAAAUUGAACUCGCUGUGAAGAUGCAGUGUACCCGCGGCAAGACGGAAAGACCCCGUGAACCUUUACUAUAGCUUGACACUGAACAUUGAGCCUUGAUGUGUAGGAUAGGUGGGAGGCUUUGAAGUGUGGACGCCAGUCUGCAUGGAGCCGACCUUGAAAUACCACCCUUUAAUGUUUGAUGUUCUAACGUGGGCCCCUUACCGGGGUUGCGGACAGUGUCUGGUGGGUAGUUUGACUGGGGCGGUCUCCUCCUAAAGAGUAACGGAGGAGCACGAAGGUUGGCUAAUCCUGGUCGGACAUCAGGAGGUUAGUGCAAUGGCAUAAGCCAGCUUGACUGCGAGCGUGACGGCGCGAGCAGGUGCGAAAGCAGGUCAUAGUGAUCCGGUGGUUCUGAAUGGAAGGGCCAUCGCUCAACGGAUAAAAGGUACUCCGGGGAUAACAGGCUGAUACCGCCCAAGAGUUCAUAUCGACGGCGGUGUUUGGCACCUCGAUGUCGGCUCAUCACAUCCUGGGGCUGAAGUAGGUCCCAAGGGUAUGGCUGUUCGCCAUUUAAAGUGGUACGCGAGCUGGGUUUAGAACGUCGUGAGACAGUUCGGUCCCUAUCUGCCGUGGGCGCUGGAGAACUGAGGGGGGCUGCUCCUAGUACGAGAGGACCGGAGUGGACGCAUCACUGGUGUUCGGGUUGUCAUGCCAAUGGCACUGCCCGGUAGCUAAAUGCGGAAGAGAUAAGUGCUGAAAGCAUCUAAGCACGAAACUUG
Molecule: ribosomal RNA, 2607 nt
Filed under: Escherichia coli
Lineage: Bacteria; Pseudomonadati; Pseudomonadota; Gammaproteobacteria; Enterobacterales; Enterobacteriaceae
Description: partial 23S ribosomal RNA
Rfam family: Bacterial large subunit ribosomal RNA
Source: RNAcentral